CUAUAACGGUCCUAAGGUAGCGAAAUUCCUUGUCGGGUAAGUUCCGACCUGCACGAAUGGCGUAAUGAUGGCCAGGCUGUCUCCACCCGAGACUCAGUGAAAUUGAACUCGCUGUGAAGAUGCAGUGUACCCGCGGCAAGACGGAAAGACCCCGUGAACCUUUACUAUAGCUUGACACUGAACAUUGAGCCUUGAUGUGUAGGAUAGGUGGGAGGCUUAGAAGUGUGGACGCCAGUCUGCAUGGAGCCGACCUUGAAAUACCACCCUUUAAUGUUUGAUGUUCUAACGUUGACCCGUAAUCCGGGUUGCGGACAGUGUCUGGUGGGUAGUUUGACUGGGGCGGUCUCCUCCUAAAGAGUAACGGAGGAGCACGAAGGUUGGCUAAUCCUGGUCGGACAUCAGGAGGUUAGUGCAAUGGCAUAAGCCAGCUUGACUGCGAGCGUGACGGCGCGAGCAGGUGCGAAAGCAGGUCAUAGUGAUCCGGUGGUUCUGAAUGGAAGGGCCAUCGCUCAACGGAUAAAAGGUACUCCGGGGAUAACAGGCUGAUACCGCCCAAGAGUUCAUAUCGACGGCGGUGUUUGGCACCUCGAUGUCGGCUCAUCACAUCCUGGGGCUGAAGUAGGUCCCAAGGGUAUGGCUGUUCGCCAUUUAAAGUGGUACGCGAGCUGGGUUUAGAACGUCGUGAGACAGUUCGGUCCCUAUCUGCCGUGGGCGCUGGAGAACUGAGGGGGGCUGCUCCUAGUACGAGAGGACCGGAGUGGACGCAUCACUGGUGUUCGGGUUGUCAUGCCAAUGGCACUGCCCGGUAGCUAAAUGCGGAAGAGAUAAGUGCUGAAAGCAUCUAAGCACGAAACUUGCCCCGAGAUGAGUUCUCCCUGACCCUUUAAGGGUCCUGAAGGAACGUUGAAGACGACGACGUUGAUAGGCCGGGUGUGUAAGCGCAGCGAUGCGUUGAGCUAACCGGUACUAAUGAACCGUGAGGCUUAACCUU
RNAcentral lists this ribosomal RNA (991 nucleotides) under Escherichia coli. Its description in RNAcentral is "bacterial LSU rRNA". It matches the Rfam family "Bacterial large subunit ribosomal RNA", at positions 1940 to 2925 of the family's 2925-position model. The record is from RNAcentral. Lineage: Bacteria; Pseudomonadati; Pseudomonadota; Gammaproteobacteria; Enterobacterales; Enterobacteriaceae.